RNAcentral lists this ribosomal RNA (425 nucleotides) under uncultured bacterium. RNAcentral describes it as "partial 16S ribosomal RNA". It matches the Rfam family "Bacterial small subunit ribosomal RNA", at positions 354 to 796 of the family's 1533-position model. The record is from RNAcentral.
GUGGGGAAUCUUGCGCAAUGGGCGAAAGCCUGACGCAGCCAUGCCGCGUGGAUGAUGAAGGUCUUAGGAUUGUAAAAUCCUUUCACCGGUGAAGAUAAUGACUGUAGCCGGAGAAGAAGCCCCGGCUAACUUCGUGCCAGCAGCCGCGGUAAUACGAAGGGGGCUAGCGUUGCUCGGAUUUACUGGGCGUAAAGGGCGCGUAGGCGGACAUUUAAGUCAGGGGUGAAAUCCCGGGGCUCAACCUCGGAACUGCCUUUGAUACUGGGUGUCUUGAGUAUGAGAGAGGUGUGUGGAACUCCGAGUGUAGAGGUGAAAUUCGUAGAUAUUCGGAAGAACACCAGUGGCGAAGGCGACACACUGGCUCAUUACUGACGCUGAGGUGCGAAAGCGUGGGGAGCAAACAGGAUUAGAAACCCGUGUAGUCC